GGUUACCUUGUUACGACUUAGCCCUAGUUACCGAUUUUGCCCUAGGCCGCUCCUUGCGGUGACGGACUUCAGGCACUCCCGGCUUCCAUGGCUUGACGGGCGGUGUGUACAAGGCCCGGGAACGUAUUCACCGGAUCAUGGCUGAUAUCCGAUUACUAGCGAUUCCAGCUUCACGGGGUCGAGUUGCAGACCCCGAUCCGAACUGUGACCGGUUUUGUAGAUCCGCGCCCCCUUGCGGGGUGGCUUCCCUCUGUACCGGCCAUUGUAGCACGUGUGUAGCCCAGGACGUAAGGGCCGUGAUGAUUUGACGUCGUCCCCACCUUCCUCACGGUUUGCACCGGCAGUCCCGUUAGAGUCCCCAUCUUGACAUGCUGGCAACUAACGGUAGGGGUUGCGCUCGUUAUAGGACUUAACCUGACACCUCACGGCACGAGCUGACGACAACCAUGCAGCACCUUGCAGGCGGUCCGAAGAAAGGGGUAUCUCUACCCCAUGCAGCCUGCAUUUAAGCCCUGGUAAGGUUCCUCGCGUACCAUCGAAUUAAACCACAUGCUCCACCGCUUGUGCGGGCCCCCGUCAAUUCCUUUGAGUUUCAUUCUUGCGAACGUACUCCCCAGGUGGGAUACUUAUCACUUUUCGCUUGGCCCACGGAGACCCGAAGUCCCCACAGCUAGUAUCCAUCGUUUACGGCGUGGACUACCGGGGUAUCUAAUCCCGUUCGCUACCCACGCUUUCGUCCAUCAGCGUCAGUACAUGGUUGGUCACCUGCCUUCGCGAUCGGUGUUCUAUGUGAUAUCUAUGCAUUUCACCGCUACACCACAUGUUCCGGCAACCCCACCAUGACUCAAGACCUGCAGUAUCAAAGGCAAUUUUAUGGUUGAGCCACAAACUUUCACCCCUGACUUACAGGCCCGCCUACGGACCCUUUAAACCCAAUGAUUCCGGAUAACGCUCGGACCCUCCGUAUUACCGCGGCUGCUGGCACGGAGUUAGCCGGUCCUUAUUCUUACGGUACCGUCAAACGCCCACACGUGGGCGCGUUUCUUCCCGUAUAAAAGCAGUUUACAACCCAUAGGGCCGUCAUCCUGCACGCGGCAUGGCUGGAUCAGGCUCCCGCCCAUUGUCCAAUAUUCCUCACUGCUGCCUCCCGUAGGAGUCUGGGCCGUGUCUCAGUCCCAGUGUGGCUGAUCAUCCUCUCAAACCAGCUAUGGAUCGCUGACUUGGUGAGCCGUUACCUCACCAACUAUCUAAUCCAACGCGGGUCCAUCUCUUAGCGAUAAAUCUUUCCCCCGAAGGGCGUAUGCGGUAUUAGCGGUCGUUUCCAACCGUUAUCCCCCACUAAGAGGUAGGUCCCCACGCGUUACUCACCCGUGCGCCACUCUCCAGUUCCCGAAGGAACCUUCUCGUACGACUUGCAUGUGUUAGGCCUGCCGCCAGCGUUCGUUCUGAGCCAGGAUCAAACUCUA
This 1466-nucleotide ribosomal RNA is filed under the name uncultured bacterium. RNAcentral describes it as "partial 16S ribosomal RNA". The record is from RNAcentral.